Molecule: ribosomal RNA, 1480 nt
Filed under: uncultured organism
Description: 16S ribosomal RNA
Rfam family: Bacterial small subunit ribosomal RNA
Source: RNAcentral
GCGGCGUGCCUAAUACAUGCAAGUCGAACGAACUCUGGUAUUGAUUGGUGCUUGCAUCAUGAUUUACAUUUGAGUGAGUGGCGAACUGGUGAGUAACACGUGGGAAACCUGCCCAGAAGCGGGGGAUAACACCUGGAAACAGAUGCUAAUACCGCAUAACAACUUGGACCGCAUGGUCCGAGCUUGAAAGAUGGCUUCGGCUAUCACUUUUGGAUGGUCCCGCGGCGUAUUAGCUAGAUGGUGGGGUAACGGCUCACCAUGGCAAUGAUACGUAGCCGACCUGAGAGGGUAAUCGGCCACAUUGGGACUGAGACACGGCCCAAACUCCUACGGGAGGCAGCAGUAGGGAAUCUUCCACAAUGGACGAAAGUCUGAUGGAGCAACGCCGCGUGAGUGAAGAAGGGUUUCGGCUCGUAAAACUCUGUUGUUAAAGAAGAACAUAUCUGAGAGUAACUGCUCAGGUAUUGACGGUAUUUAACCAGAAAGCCACGGCUAACUACGUGCCAGCAGCCGCGGUAAUACGUAGGUGGCAAGCGUUGUCCGGAUUUAUUGGGCGUAAAGCGAGCGCAGGCGGUUUUUUAAGUCUGAUGUGAAAGCCUUCGGCUCAACCGAAGAAGUGCAUCGGAAACUGGGAAACUUGAGUGCAGAAGAGGACAGUGGAACUCCAUGUGUAGCGGUGAAAUGCGUAGAUAUAUGGAAGAACACCAGUGGCGAAGGCGGCUGUCUGGUCUGUAACUGACGCUGAGGCUCGAAAGUAUGGGUAGCAAACAGGAUUAGAUACCCUGGUAGUCCAUACCGUAAACGAUGAAUGCUAAGUGUUGGAGGGUUUCCGCCCUUCAGUGCUGCAGCUAACGCAUUAAGCAUUCCGCCUGGGGAGUACGGCCGCAAGGCUGAAACUCAAAGGAAUUGACGGGGGCCUGCACAAGCGGUGGAGCAUGUGGUUUAAUUCGAAGCUACGCGAAGAACCUUACCAGGUCUUGACAUACUAUGCAAAUCUAAGAGAUUAGACGUUCCCUUCGGGGACAUGGAUACAGGUGGUGCAUGGUUGUCGUCAGCUCGUGUCGUGAGAUGUUGGGUUAAGUCCCGCAACGAGCGCAACCCUUAUUAUCAGUUGCCAGCAUUAAGUUGGGCACUCUGGUGAGACUGCCGGUGACAAACCGGAGGAAGGUGGGGAUGACGUCAAAUCAUCAUGCCCCUUAUGACCUGGGCUACACACGUGCUACAAUGGAUGGUACAACGAGUUGCGAACUCGCGAGAGUGAGCUAAUCUCUUAAAGCCAUUCUCAGUUCGGAUUGUAGGCUGCAACUCGCCUACAUGAAGUCGGAAUCGCUAGUAAUCGCGGAUCAGCAUGCCGCGGUGAAUACGUUCCCGGGCCUUGUACACACCGCCCGUCACACCAUGAGAGUUUGUAACACCCAAAGUCGGUGGGGUAACCUUUUAGGAACCAGCCGCCUAAGGUGGGACAGAUGAUUAGGGUGAA